UCCGGGGUUUCCCCGGCAGUCUCCUAUGAGUGCUCGGCAUAACCCGGUCGCAACAUAGGAUGAGGGUUGCGCUCGUUGCGGGACUUAACCCAACACCUCACGGCACGAGCUGACGACAGCCAUGCAACACCUGUCCCGGUUCCCGAUUUUACGGGUGGGCCACCCUUUCAGGCGCCUACAUCCGGAAUGUCAAGCCUGGGUAAGGUUCUUCGCUUUGCAUCGAAUUAAGCAACGCGCUCCGCCGCUAGUGCGGGCCCCCGUCAAUUCCUUUGAGUUUCAGCCUUGCGGCCGUACUCCCCAGGCGGGGUACUUCAUGCGUUGGCGCCGGCACUCAGGGGGUCGCUCCCCCAAGCACCUAGUACCCAUCGUUUACGGCGUGGACUAC
RNAcentral lists this unclassified non-coding RNA (385 nucleotides) under uncultured Actinomycetes bacterium. RNAcentral's name for it is "uncultured actinobacterium contains 16S-23S intergenic spacer region". Lineage: Bacteria; Bacillati; Actinomycetota; Actinomycetes. The record is from RNAcentral.